GAUUCAUUAAUCCGGGAAGCAUCAAAUUCUGUAAAAGAGUAAGAGCUCCCACCAGGUGAACAGAAGAGAUUGGCUUUAUAGGUAGAAAGGAGCAGAAGAGAGCAGAAAUAGGAAACAAAAAGAUUGGUUUCAAAAUUACUUUCCGUGCAGGAUUAACACAGAGGACUUGUCCUGUUGUCUCAGCUCACAAAGUAAGCAGUUUGCUCCACCAUGUGCUCCCUGCCAUUGCUAUCUGACAUCCUCAUCAGAGGCCCAAAGCUAUGGGGAUACCUGAUCUUGGACUGGAACCUCCAGAACUAUGAGCUUUUUAUCUUUUGUUGUUGAUUCACCAUUUAAACUGAAUCAAUUAACUGACCAGUUCCAGUUCUACUACUGAAAAAUUGUCAGGUACUAUUCUUAAUCCUUUAUAUGCAUUAACUCCUUCAAUUAUAACACCGAUCCUUUGGGGUAAGUACCACUAUUUUUGCCCAUUUUACAAAGUAAUUGAAAUACAGAGAAUUUUUUUAAAAUACCUAUUCUCUGUCAUCAGGUCAGUGCUAUGUGGAGACCAGAGAAGAAGAAAAGCAAGUAGCCUCUCUGGUUUUUUAAUUUUACUUGUGUGUCUCUUCCUAUAGAG
Molecule: long non-coding RNA, 616 nt
Organism: Sciurus carolinensis (gray squirrel)
Lineage: Eukaryota; Metazoa; Chordata; Mammalia; Rodentia; Sciuridae
Exons: 3
Source: RefSeq, a predicted model, not a curated record